ACAUGCAUUAACACCAAAGGUUUAUUGCCCGGCCUCAAAUAGUUGUGACUUCUACAUAAGUUCAAUUACGAUUGCUUAACAUAACGCUAAAUUUGUGACACAAAAGGCAUAAGUAUUCUAGUUAGUGAGAUUAUAAGUCUCUCCUCUUCCAUGGUAUUAUGUGUAAACUUGGCCUUAUUUCCUUCCUUUGGAAGACGUUUUGGUUCAAGGAUCCAUGCUUGUGGCAAUUGGGUUGAGUGUUUUCCAAAUAAUAUCUUGACACUAAAAAUAAAAAAAAAAACUAACUAUUAACUUACUAACAUUAACUUUUACUUUCAAGCUUUUACUUUUAAUGCAAUUUACUUUUAUUGUUCUAUUAUCAUUUGUCAUUGUACAUAUCAUUUUAAUUAUUUAUGUUUAUGCAAUUUUCACUUUUUCCACUUGGACCAUAUUUUGUGAUAUACUUUG
Molecule: long non-coding RNA, 447 nt
Filed under: Lathyrus oleraceus (garden pea)
Lineage: Eukaryota; Viridiplantae; Streptophyta; Magnoliopsida; Fabales; Fabaceae
Description: Pisum sativum (pea) long non-coding RNA (PSAT_LNC020693)
Source: RNAcentral